AUGCCCAUUGUCCACAGCAUCCCUCGCAAUACGACUUCUUUCCAAAGAGCUUGUGUGUUUAUCCUGGAAAUAAAUACAUUAUCAACUUGCAAGAAAAAUUUCAGCAUAGAAAAGCACCGUCAGGCAAUAAGUCUGUUUCUUGUUGUCUUGGCAGCCCGGGAAUUGGUCUGCAUCGCAAAGGAAGGCAGUGUGCUGAAUUGCUUUGAUAAACUAGUCCGGGCUUUCACAGAUCCGUCUCUCUUUCUGAGCUGCGCACACAUUACUUCUCUGAAGAUGGAGCUAGAGAUAUUUCACAAAGACAGCAGAGUUUAUGAGAAAAGAAGAUCACCAUAUUCCUUAUUUCCUGGGAGUCACUGUCUAGUAUUUGGAGACUGAAAAAACGCAGCUUCUUGCUGAAAGCUCCUCUCUCUCCCUCUCAUAUCCCCUUUAUCUCUCUGCACUUUGCUAUGCUUUUUUCUCCAAACUGCUUCCCUUAUCUCUAUUAUUCUUUUCCUCCACAUAGAGGAGCUAUUGCUGCUUUGGUCCUAAUCAGAAAUUAUAGCAGAGAACAAUAAAAAUACUUAUAUUUGUAUUUAUAGAUUGAAUUCUUAAAAAAAAAAAAAAGGACCCUUCUUACCUGGUUUAUCUCUGAAAGAGAAAGGAACUUAUGGACCAUCUGGUUUUACGCCAGCUUUCUCAUAUUGCUUAGCUUUCUGUUUGAAGUGGAUCAAACACUUGGCACUCUUGCAGUGGACUCCUUCUGUGCUUUCACCAUGAACGGAAUAUUAGAAUUGUUCAGUUCAGCAUGUGCUGAAAUCAACAGAACUGUUGUUUGUGAAAUAAUUACAUCAUAGUUUAGUAAAAUCAGAUUGUCCUUUUUUUUUUCUCUUUCUUUUAAAAUAGCAUCUAUUAUGGGGCACCUGGAUGGCUCGUUGGUGAAGGGGCCAACUCUUGGUUUCAGCUCAGGUCAUGAUCUCAGUGUCCGGAGAUCAAACCCCACAUCAGUGUCCACACUCAGCAUAGAGUCAGCUUGUCCUUUUCCCUCUGCUCUUCUCCCUGCUUGUGUUCUCUCUCUCUCUCUCUUUCUCAAAUAAAUUAAAAAAAAUAAAAUUUAUUAGAACCCCUGCUAAAAGAAGUCAAAC
This 1121-nucleotide long non-coding RNA is filed under the name Canis lupus familiaris (dog). RNAcentral describes it as "lncRNA (ENSCAFG00040017835.1)". The record is from RNAcentral. Lineage: Eukaryota; Metazoa; Chordata; Mammalia; Carnivora; Canidae.